This 2100-nucleotide long non-coding RNA is filed under the name Macaca fascicularis (crab-eating macaque). RNAcentral describes it as "lncRNA (ENSMFAG00000050201.1)". Lineage: Eukaryota; Metazoa; Chordata; Mammalia; Primates; Cercopithecidae. The record is from RNAcentral.
UGUCCCCUCUGCCCACCCCUAGCCUUCCUAACAGUGCUCCGUGGUUCAGUGUGGCUUCAAGUUGAAAACAUGGUGGGCAGGAGAGGUUUUGGGGGCUGGGAGUAAAGUGAAGUGGUUGACGUGGCCACUGUUUUUUAAGCUUCUGUGACUGGUUUGGUUUAACACUGAAGUGGAAUCUGUGUAUUAAAUGCUGUAAUGCCUUAAAAUUAACUCCCCCGAGAGCAUCUGCCUUAUUUUUCUCCUUUGGCUCUCUGUAAGUUUCUUUGGCAGGGUCUCUGCGAAUCUUAGGCUUCCUUAUGAAAAAGUGCUGCUUACUAAGUAUAGUUUAUAUCCUGAGCCCCAGGGAGAAAAUAGAGAAAAGAUUUCCGGUAAAAUCAACCUCCACGGAAGUUCAAUAGAGGGGCCUCUUCACGCUUGCCCCAGUUCUAAUCCUGCAUGAACGGUACUUUAUCCUCUUCCCUGCUGCAGUCUUGUGCUCCGUGCAGUCCCGUGCUCCAUGCAGUCCCUCUUCCAGGUAGCCGCUGGACUCAUCUCCACGCAGUAGGAAUCUGGCCGUAUCACCACUGCCCUCCCCUUACUGGAAACGCUUCAGUCCAAGUUCUGCAGCUCUGUGGCCUGACUCAGUCCUGUCAUACACACACCAGGCAGGUCUUGUUGGUGGAUUAAUGGGACUGGAUGAAGGGGACAUCAGGCAGUUGAAGUGGCUGAGGGAACCAGGGUUGAAGGCUACACCCCAUCUAAAGAGAACCAACUCUGAUUAUUGCCAUGGGAGAAUAUGGCCACCAUGUUCCCAGAUCCUGAUUGUUCAACAUAAUUUGGGGAAUCUGGGUUUUUAUAUGAAAGAGCCUAAUUUUCAAGCGUUGGUUUAUAUUUUUAAAAAUACUAUAUGGGCCAUCAACAAAGCAUGUCUGUGGGCCACACACCCACAUGCUAGGACCACUUUUGCCCUUUGCUGUGUGCCCCAAGAUGUUGGCAGCUCCCUAUAAAUGCCAUGCCCUUUCCUCUCUGUGACUUUCUCCGUCCUGGUCCCUAUGCUGUCUUUGGCAGGUCAACUUGUCCUCAUAUAGUGCUUGUAACAGCUAUGUGACUUUGGGCCAGUUACUCACCAUCUUGAUGCCUCAGUUCCCUCCUCUAUAAAGUGGGAAUAAGGGUGACCGGGAAGAAUACGUGAGUCAACAAAUGCAAAGUGUUAGAAAAUGCUUGACAUAUUGUUCAUCAGUGUCAUCAUCAUCAUCAUCCUUAUUAUUGUCCUCCAUCUAGUCUUGGCUGUCACCUCUGAGAUGCCUGCCUAGACUCCUUGAAAGCAGGCUGUCCCCACCCCAUCCCAAUUCUUUCACACCCCAUCCCCACAGCCAUCUCACUGCAUUGAUUAUCUGUUGGCUUCUCAGUACCCCCUGGGCUGUGGGCGCCUUGAGAGGAGGAAUAUCUUUCUCUCCAUGCACAACUUCGAACAGCGCUUGGCCCGGAAGAGGCCUCCAUAGAGGCUUACUGAGUGGAUGCACCUUGCAUGAACAGUGGUCUGGAAGCCUGAUACCACUUGAUAUUUCUACCCAGAUGUUAUUGUUACCACCCAGGCCAAGGAUGUGCUUCUUCUGGAGGCACAAAAAGGUGGGGCUUGUCUGGCCCCACCACAGCAUGACAUCUAUCCCUCCUCACAGUUCCCCUCUCUGAUGGAAGCAAGGAAACAGGAAGUGAAACUGACAGGCACUGACCAACCUGGUUUCACAUCGGGGUGAAUGAAAAGGACGAGCCCCCCACUCCCUGGGGUGGGGCAGGAGGGAGGUGGGGGUGGGGAUGGGACAUGAGUCAUGGUGUGUCAUCGAGAUUUUUUUGGAUGCAUUUUUCAGUUUCAAAAGCAUGAGGCGUUAUUACUAUGGGUUGAGAACCUGGAGCGCCAAAUGACUGUGUCCCAAACAGGAUGGCGCAAUCGGUGUCUGGUAAAGUACCUGGGAGUUUUCUUUGUUCCAAGUGGGGUUUGUGGCUGAGCACAGGGGCCUUACAGUGAGGUUAUGGUCCCCAUACAGUAGCGAUCCGGAAGAUCUGAGCCCUGACUAAUUCUUCUGCCCUUAAGCUGGUGUUUAAAAGAAAAAAAAAAAAAAA